GAUGAACGCUGGCGGCGUGCCUAAUACAUGCAAGUCGAGCGAACAGACGAGGAGCUUGCUCCUCUGACGUUAGCGGCGGACGGGUGAGUAACACGUGGAUAACCUACCUAUAAGACUGGGAUAACUUCGGGAAACCGGAGCUAAUACCGGAUAACAUGUUGAACCGCGUGGUUCAACAGUGAAAGACGGUCUUGCUGUCACUUAUAGAUGGAUCCGCGCCGCAUUAGCUAGUUGGUAAGGUAACGGCUUACCAAGGCAACGAUGCGUAGCCGAACUGAGAGGGUGAUCGGCCACACUGGAACUGAGACACGGUCCAGACUCCUACGGGAGGCAGCAGUAGGGAAUCUUGCGCAAUGGGCGAAAGCCUGACGGAGCAACGCCGCGUGAGUGAAGAAGGUCUUCGGAUCGUAAAACUCUGUUAUUAGGGAAGAACAAAUGUGUAAGUAACUAUGCACGUCUUGACGGUACCUAAUCAGAAAGCCACGGCUAACUACGUG
Molecule: ribosomal RNA, 497 nt
Filed under: uncultured bacterium
Lineage: Bacteria
Description: partial 16S ribosomal RNA
Rfam family: Bacterial small subunit ribosomal RNA
Source: RNAcentral